GCUCGGCCCUGCCUCACAGCCCACGAAGUUCCACCUCCUCACAGGUUGGCUGGCUCAGCUGAGGUGGUGCCCCUGCUCUGAGCCAUGUGCGGGCCAAGUUCACCUCGAGCCAUGGCCAGAUACAGAUGCUGCUGCAGCCCAAGCCAGAGCAGAGGCUACCGUAGACGCAGCCACAGACCAAGGAGGCAAUGCCAUCCCAGACGGAGACAAAGGUGCAGCCGCCGUGGGUACACCCGGAGGGCCAGAAGACGCUAACUGCAGAAGAGCGAGGCCUCCGAACUCCUGCUGAAGACUUUGCCAGACCUCAAGACCGUCUUGCCACCUCUGACAAUGCCACCCUGCACUGAUACAGGAGCCUGCUAAGGAACAAUGCCGCCUGUCAAUAAAUGUCAAACUCAUCCCA
Molecule: long non-coding RNA, 403 nt
Organism: Heterocephalus glaber (naked mole-rat)
Lineage: Eukaryota; Metazoa; Chordata; Mammalia; Rodentia; Bathyergidae
Source: RefSeq, a predicted model, not a curated record